This 242-nucleotide ribosomal RNA is filed under the name Amanita cf. subphalloides F1116789. RNAcentral describes it as "partial large subunit ribosomal RNA". It matches the Rfam family "Bacterial large subunit ribosomal RNA", at positions 1791 to 2018 of the family's 2925-position model. Lineage: Eukaryota; Fungi; Basidiomycota; Agaricomycetes; Agaricales; Amanitaceae. The record is from RNAcentral.
AGGCCCCGACUGUUUACUAAAAACACAACACAGUGCAAUCAUUAAUGUGAUAGUAUACUGUGUGAAAUUUGCCCAAUGCCAUUAAUAUAAGAGCGGUCAUAUGUAGAAUGUGACUAAUUGAAAAUCUGGUUAAUAGCGGUCUUAACCAUGAGGAUCCUAAGGUAGCAAAAUAAAUUGGCCAUUAAAUGUGGUCCGGUAUCAAUAAUGUAACAAUGGCCUCACUGGUCUUCUACAACUUGUCA